ACCUUAAGCGGGAUGCGAAUGGGGCAGGGCGAGCGCACGUGGAGCGUGUUUACAAAUAGACGUCAGGGCGUCCGCGUCUUCCAGCGCCGACUCCCGGGAAUCCCCAGCCCACCGGCCGGGACAGGACGAGCCGGAGCAAGGGUCAGGAACCACGCUGGGAGCGGUCAAAUUGGGUUUGGGGUUUCUUUUCCCUGGUGGGAUGAGGUUGCAAGUCACAGUUUCUGUAGAAGCGACUCUGUAAAGCUGGCUGUACCUGGGAGACGCAACAGCCUGUGAGAGGUUCUCUUGUAAAUUUCCUGCCGCCCCUCCACGCCCUCUGCUUCUAGGUGGUAGUAAGGGAAUUGCAGUUUGACAAAGCCCCUUGAUUUCAAGCCAAGGUACAGUACGUUUCUAUUUUGGCAUUUUCACUGGAGCAAAUGCAGGCACCUGUGCACUAAUAAUCGCUGCGAUGAACGUGCCUUCUCCGCGUUCACGGACUCGCUUCCCUGCAGGACCCUCGGAGACUUCCCUGGGGAAGGGAGCGGCUGCACCUUCAUCCUGCAGCACCUGUUUACCCAGGAAACGCUUUUAGUCUAUUUCUUUUGUGUGUGUGUGUAUACUUUGAAAAAAAACGGAAGUCUUCAGUUAAGUUUCUCUGCUGUCUGAACAUAAAUGUCUAACCUUUUUCGUUAACAUGAAACGAAAAGCCCACAUUGUUGCUAGGAUGUUUCCAAUCAUUCUUACUGCAGAAAAGAUGUUGAUUUUACCGUUUCCAUCUGACUUCCUCGCCCAGGCUGCUCAAUUGCCUUCCUCAAAAUCGCUGCUUUCUCCCAUGUGACGUGAUGAAAUCUCCUAGUUAACAUGAUGAAAUCACAGAUGUUUUGGACAAAUGUCUGAUUUACCCGCAGGUAGAUCUUUUCUUCCCGUUCCCCAUAUCAACCAGUCGUUCUUGGUUGACUAUUUUGGAUCAAGUUCAACUUUGUGCUAGUUUUAUAUCACUUUUAGUAGUUUGCCUCUUUUCUCCGAUAGUUGUAAUAAGCGUGAAAACAAUUGUAACCGACUUAGGAGACGCUAUUCAUUCCUCAGAAGGGAAGAGAGCUGACAUUUACUGACUGCCAAUCAAAAGACACAGGGUGUAGCUAGAAGUUAGCUGCCAGGUUUACCCCCUCAGCCGCCAGCCUACCAGGGUCCCUCAGGUCCCAUGAUAUCUAAAUAAAAUGAACUCUGCCUCUUAUCUCUCUCCCCCACUAUCUCUGGGGUUUAAUUUCCAUCCAGACACCACUUGUUUCAUUUCUCCGUUUCUGCUGAUUGCUCCAGCUUGUCGGGUGUCUUAUCUCUUAUAACUGCUCUUUUUUCAUCACCUGGUGUAAGUUGACAUCUGGAACCCAGCCCACAUUUCCUGAUUUUCUCAAAACAUCACUUCCAAGGAGGCACUUGUAUUUAGCAGACUCUUCAUAAGACUUUACCCAAGACACAAGAUCAUUUCAUCAAAUCGACCUUGUUGAGGGAGAAGGGUUGCUAAUUGUAGCAGAUUUACAUUGGAGUUGGGGGCGGGGUUAGAAUGGCUCAGCCUUAUUUUAUGAAGAGCCUGGCUGCCCACAGGCAACUUCUUAUUGCCAGUUCUUUGGGUCCCAGCCUUGCUCCAUCUCACUGUGCCAUCCUCCCCAUCCUCUCUCCAGAGUUUUUCUGUCUUGGGAUCCCCCCUCUUUCCUUCCUUCUCAGCUGCUCGUGAAAUCUUAAGAUUCUUUCCCCCUUUAUUAUGCAGAGCAAUUUCUGUAUCUUUUUCCCAACUGUCUGUUCCGAUUCCCAUGGUCUAGUCUCAAAUUAAAAGACAUUUGAUUUCACUCCUUGUGGAAUUCUGCCACAGUAUUUCUUUCCUUCUGCAUGUAUGUAAUCUCUCUUAAUCCUUCUAAUAGUACUACGAAGUUAAUGUUACCUCUAUCUCACAUACAAGGAUUGAUUCUGCAGAAUUAAAUUUGCCACUUAUUAAAAUGGAAUUUUUGGCAUUAGCCUACCAAAAAGGCAUUCUAGGUGUGAGAGCACUAUUUUUAAGUCUGCAACCGUGUUGAUCAGACAUAGUGUUGGUUUAUUGGAAUGUGGGUUUUCUGAAAACUACUCCAAAUCACCUGAAAGUGGCAUAUGUGUCUCAUCAUCAUAAGCUCUAAAUUUCCUAUUCUGCUGAGAUACUCUCCAUGCGAAUACAUUAUGUGAUCUCAUUUUCAGUGGUAUUCUUUAUGCAUAAUAGUUUUGUAAUAGAAUAGGAAAACUCUAAAUACUUAAUUUUAAAGGAAUCACUUUUUUGCUUUGGGGUUCCAUUUAGUUUAUCAUUGACCCUCAUUUACUUGGAGAUUUUUAUUUGAUACCUAAUUGGCUAGUCCAGUAAGCUUAGGAUGAGGACAUAAUAACAUUCUACUGAUUAAACUGAUUUAAUAUCAAAUAGUGUUUCUCUGUUAAUAAUUGGAAAUUUUACUGCCAUUGGAAAAAUCGGUGGUUUUCACACACACACAAAAAAAUGUACUGCUGCCUAUCUGAAGGGGCAUAAAACAUUGAGGGGAACUUGCAGCUAAAAUGUAAUUGUGGGGUGGUGUGUGUUUUAGGACGAACCCGAUGCACAACAGCUGUCGUGGUAAGAUGAAAGUUUAUACUUGGAAGUCUUUUUUAGCUGUUAAGUCAUUUUACCUUGUGCUAUAGACAAAAAGUAUUCAUUUUUAAUGUAAGAGUUUUUCUUUUAAAUGGUUAAAGGUGGGAACGCUUUUCUGCUUACAUUUCUGGGCACAAGAGAAAUCAGAUUGCUUGUUGGAAAGUCCCAUUUAAAAAAAAAUUUAAAAAGGUUAACACAAUGUUGAAAGAUAAUGAUGACUUAAACUGUUGUGUCAUAUAGAUGCUCAGUGGGGGAUUUUAAACUUAAUUGAGCUUUCUAUAUUUCUUCGUUGGCUGGAGGUGGGCUUUCAGCUGUCUGGCAGCAUAAACAAAGAGAAUAAGGACCUGGGAGGGUGGAAAAGAUUUAAUAGGGUUGGAAGAAGGCAAAUUACCAGCGGGAAUGUUUGAGGAAGAGUUAGACUUCGUGUCUGAAAAACCUGUUGGUUUCAAUGGACGAAACUAAUGAAUUGCUGAUUGGUGUCAGCAGUGUGGGUGGAAAACGUGCAUGAGAUUUAUAUGCUACCCAUCUUUCCUUUCCAGACCUGCUGAGUUUGCAGCCCUUCUCUGAAGGAGCCUGCAGUUCCAUCAGCUGAGUCAACUCAGGUUUACUGAGAGUUCCAGCAUGCUCCCUGUCCCCAGCACUCAAAGCUUCAUGGUUUCAGGCUCCUUGUACUUCUCCUUUCGCCUCAAAGUUUCUCCCCUUCCUCUGUUAUAGCCUUUAAGUUCUAGGUUGUCCUAAAAGUUAUGUUUUUCUUUUUUAUUUUUUUUUCCCCCCUGGCUGUCCCAUGGGCUAUGGAGUUUCCAGGCCAGGGAUCAGCUUUGAGCCACAGCUGUGACAACACCAGAUCAAAGUUGUGUUUUUCAAGGUUCCUCAGACAUUACGGGUGAGAAUCACCUGGGGUCCAAACUCGACUGUCCAGGGAUGAAGCCCAGGAGUCCUUAACGUUCAUGGAGCCUCCCAUGAAAGUGAUUCUAACAUGUGGAAGACUGAAAACCUUAGGCACUGACAACCCUAAAUAAUUUAGGUGCGGCCCUACAUAAAUAAAUAAAUAAAAAGAAAAAAAAAAA
Molecule: long non-coding RNA, 3687 nt
Filed under: Sus scrofa (pig)
Lineage: Eukaryota; Metazoa; Chordata; Mammalia; Artiodactyla; Suidae
Description: lncRNA (ENSSSCG00005009801.1)
Source: RNAcentral